UUGCUUUCCGGAUAAUGCUGUUUUAUUGUAUCAAUCAGUAAUUAGUAGUGCACGGUGUUUGUCUAAGAAAACAAUAAUAUCAAAUCAUAUCCAAUACAUGAAAUCUAACAAUUACUGGUUGAUAUUACUGAUGGCGCAUUAUCUAAAGGCAACUAAAUUCACAGAUCAUACCAUUUGAAAAGAGAUAAGGGAUAGAAUAAACAGAUAUUUUGGCGAUACUGGAAAUAACUGUACUUAAUAAGUACAGGAAUAACUUGGACGAUUUUAUGAAACAUGCUGGAAUAAGAUGGAUGUCAACAUUGGCUAAAGACCACUAAAAAAUAAGAUUUAUUAGUGCACAAACAUUUUUGAGCCAGCUAUAUUGCAGACAAGUGUCAUUGAACUCAAGUGAUGCUAAAACGGAUACACAAAAACGUACCAAGCCAUAUAAACAGAAAAAAUAUGGCAAGUUCAUAUUAAUUCAACUUUACAAACCUCUGUCUCCAAUUCCUUGUGCUACCUGAUCGUUUGUACUGGAACUUUGAUUCUGACUCCCGCAUAGAUCUUUGGUACUGUUUCAUCUUCACCCACGAACGCCCGG
Molecule: long non-coding RNA, 580 nt
Organism: Diabrotica virgifera virgifera (western corn rootworm)
Lineage: Eukaryota; Metazoa; Arthropoda; Insecta; Coleoptera; Chrysomelidae
Exons: 3
Source: RefSeq, a predicted model, not a curated record